GCUCCUACGGGACGCAGCAGUGAGGAAUAUUGGUCAAUGGACGGAAGUCUGAACCAGCCAUGCCGCGUGCAGGAAGACGGCUCUAUGAGUUGUAAACUGCUUUUGUACAAGGGUAAACCUGAAUACGUGUAUUCAGCUGAAAGUACUGUACGAAUAAGGAUCGGCUAACUCCGUGCCAGCAGCCGCGGUAAUACGGAGGAUCCAAGCGUUAUCCGGAUUUAUUGGGUUUAAAGGGUGCGUAGGCGGUCAGGUAAGUUAGAGGUGAAAGCUCGAUGCUCAACAUCGAAACUGCCUCUGAUACUGUC
Molecule: ribosomal RNA, 305 nt
Filed under: uncultured bacterium
Lineage: Bacteria
Description: bacterial SSU rRNA
Rfam family: Bacterial small subunit ribosomal RNA
Source: RNAcentral